CCUACGGGAGGCUGCAGUGAGGAAUAUUGGUCAAUGGGAGAGAUCCUGAACCAGCCAAGCCGCGUGAGGGAAGACGGCCCUAUGGGUUGUACACCUCUUUUGUCGGAGAACAAAACCCGGGCCGUUUCCCGGACUGCGUGUAUCCGAAGCAAAAGCAUCGGCUAACUCCGUUCCAGCAGCCGCGUUAAUACGGAGGAUGCGAGCGUUAUCCGGAUUUAUUGGGUUUAAAGGGUGCGUAGGAGGUCCGUUAAGUCAGCGGUAAAAUGGCGGGGCUCAACCCAGUCGAGCCGGUGAAACUGGCAGACUUGAGUUGGCGAGAAGUACGCGGAAUGCGCGGUGUAGCGGUGAAAUGCAUAGAUAUCGCGCAGAACUCCGAUUGCGAAGGCAGCGUACCGGCGCCAGACUGACGCUGAGGCACGAAAGCGUGGGGAUCGAACAGGAUUAGAUACCCGGGUAGUC
RNAcentral lists this ribosomal RNA (459 nucleotides) under uncultured bacterium. RNAcentral's name for it is "partial 16S ribosomal RNA". It matches the Rfam family "Bacterial small subunit ribosomal RNA", at positions 338 to 795 of the family's 1533-position model. The record is from RNAcentral.